Molecule: ribosomal RNA, 268 nt
Filed under: uncultured Rhodocyclaceae bacterium
Lineage: Bacteria; Pseudomonadati; Pseudomonadota; Betaproteobacteria; Rhodocyclales; Rhodocyclaceae
Description: partial 16S ribosomal RNA
Rfam family: Bacterial small subunit ribosomal RNA
Source: RNAcentral
AGUUGCCAUCAUUUGGUUGGGCACUCUAAUGAGACUGCCGGUGACAACCGGAGGAAGGUGGGGAUGACGUCAAGUCCUCAUGGCCCUUAUGGGUAGGGCUUCACACGUCAUACAAUGGUCGGUACGAGAGGGUUGCCAACCCGCGAGGGGGAGCUAAUCCCACAAAGCCGAUCGUAGUCCGGAUCGCAGUCUGCAACUCGACUGCGUGAAGUCGGAAUCGCUAGUAAUCGUGGAUCAGCAUGUCACGGUGAAUACGUUCCCGGGUCUU